This 195-nucleotide microRNA precursor is filed under the name Oryza brachyantha (malo sina). Its description in RNAcentral is "MIR812 microRNA precursor family". It matches the Rfam family "MIR812 microRNA precursor family", at positions 19 to 191 of the family's 205-position model. The record is from Rfam by way of RNAcentral. Lineage: Eukaryota; Viridiplantae; Streptophyta; Magnoliopsida; Poales; Poaceae.
GAUAGGAUUAUUUUUCGUUUUUCCGUAUCUAAUGUUUGACCAUUCGUCUUAUUUGAAAAAAAUUUUGUGAUUAAUAUUUUUGUUCUUACUAGAUGAUAAAACAUAAAUAGUAUUUUAUGCGUGACUAAUUUUUUUAAAUUUUUAUACAAUUUUUUCAAAUAAUACGAAUGGUCAAACAUUGGACACGGAAAAACA